RNAcentral lists this small RNA (28 nucleotides) under Bombyx mori (domestic silkworm). RNAcentral's name for it is "piRNA piR-bmo-1362206". The record is from RNAcentral. Lineage: Eukaryota; Metazoa; Arthropoda; Insecta; Lepidoptera; Bombycidae.
UCGGACACUCUCGGUGACCUCUCUCUCG